This 497-nucleotide ribosomal RNA is filed under the name uncultured bacterium. Its description in RNAcentral is "partial 16S ribosomal RNA". It matches the Rfam family "Bacterial small subunit ribosomal RNA", at positions 28 to 507 of the family's 1533-position model. The record is from RNAcentral.
GAUGAACGCUGGCGGCAUGCCUAAUACAUGCAAGUCGAGCGAACCGACGAGGAGCUUGCUCCUCUGACGUUUACGGCGGACGGAUCAGUCCCACGUGGAUAACCUAACUAUAAGACUCGGAUAACUUCAGGAAACCGGAGCUAAUACCGGCUACUAUUUUUAAUCGCAUGGUUAUAUACUGAAAGAGAGUUUUGCUUUCCAUUAUCUAUUUGUCCGCGCCGCAUUAGAUAGAUGGUAAGGUAACGACGUAGCAAGGCAACGAUGCGUAGCCGACCUGAGAGGGUGAGCGGCCACACUGGGACUGAGACACGGUCCAGACUCCUACGGGAGGCAGCAGUAGGGAAUCUUCCGCAAUGGGCGAAAGCCUGACGGAGCAACGCCGCGUGAGUGAUGAAGGUCUUCGGAUCGUAAGACUCUGUUAUUAGGGAAGAACAAAUGUGUAAGUAACUAUGCACGUCUUGACGGUACCUAAUCAGAAAGCCACGGCUAACUACGUG